RNAcentral lists this unclassified non-coding RNA (301 nucleotides) under Glomus sp. Its description in RNAcentral is "partial contains 5.8S ribosomal RNA and internal transcribed spacer 2". The stretch from base 1 to 66 matches the Rfam family "5.8S ribosomal RNA", at positions 84 to 154 of the family's 154-position model. The record is from RNAcentral. Lineage: Eukaryota; Fungi; Glomeromycota; Glomeromycetes; Glomerales; Glomeraceae.
GUGAAUCAUCAAAUCUUUGAACGCAAAUUGCGCCUUCUUUCGGAAGGCAUGUCUGUUUGAGGGCACCAUUUAACAAAUAAUGUGCGCGUCGUUUUUACGAGCGACGUGCGCACGUUGAUGAGCUUUUCCGAAAAAACCAGGUUUUUUUGGUGGCGCAUAAUGAACAGCGUGGGCUUUUUCUUCGAUUCUCGUGUAGUAAAUCUUCAACGCUUGGGUUGAGAAAAAGUGCGUGCCGCGCAAUGGGUGUGGCGAAUUUUACCCCUGCCCCAAUGCCACUCUUUCCCUGCGAAAGAACAAUCUU